AAGUCGUAACAAGGUUUCCGUAGGUGAACCUGCGGAAGGAUCAUUACUGAGUUAGGGUCUCAUCUCGAGCCCGAACCUCCAACCCUUUGUUUAAAACACUUUGUUGCUUUGGCAGGCCCGUCUGACACUCCCUUAACCGGGAUCGACGACCGCCGGGGGCGUUUAGUCACCUCUGGUCAGUGCUUGCCGACAGCCUAUUCAAAAUUCUUUAUUAAAUAAUGUCUGAAAAAUUAUAAUUAAAUAUAAUUAAAACUUUUAACAACGGAUCUCUUGGUUCUG
RNAcentral lists this unclassified non-coding RNA (279 nucleotides) under air metagenome. RNAcentral's name for it is "partial contains small subunit ribosomal RNA, internal transcribed spacer 1, and 5.8S ribosomal RNA". The stretch from base 1 to 46 matches the Rfam family "Eukaryotic small subunit ribosomal RNA", at positions 1786 to 1831 of the family's 1831-position model. The record is from RNAcentral.